This 210-nucleotide ribosomal RNA is filed under the name Triticum aestivum (bread wheat). Its description in RNAcentral is "partial small subunit ribosomal RNA". Lineage: Eukaryota; Viridiplantae; Streptophyta; Magnoliopsida; Poales; Poaceae. The record is from RNAcentral.
AUGUCUAUUGUGCCCGGCAAAAACAGAUUUGCAAGGAGUUUGCCAAAGGCUUUCUCAUUCGGGAAAACAAUUUCAAGUAUAUUUCCCUUCUCCAUUCUCUGCUCGGAUGAUUGCCGCUUGUGUGAAUUUCAUUGCUGUGGGUCCCGUGUGUGCUCGAAUAAGAUUGUUUUAGGAUUCUAUUUAGUUGAAUUUCUUGACAAAGAAAACUAG